AUGAGUUUUCCUUUCUCUGCAUCCUCACCGACAUCAGUUCUUUUCUUUUCUUUUUUUUUGAGACGGGGUCUUGCUCUGUCACCCAUGCUGGAGUGGAGUGGCACGAUCAUGGCUCACUACAGCCUUGACCUCCUGGGAUCAGGCAAUCCUACCUUAGCCCCUCAAGUAGCUAGGACUACAGGUGUGCACCAUCAUGCCCUGCUAAUUUUUUACUUUUUUGUAGAGAUGGGGUCUCCCUAUGUUGCCAGGCUGAUCUCAAACUGCUGGCCUCAGGCUAUCCUCCCACUUCGGUUUCCCAAAGUGUUUAGAUUACAAGUGUGAGUCACAACAACUGGCCUGUUUGGUGAAUUCUCUGAGUAAUUUUUACCCCCGUUGUGUAGUAUAAAUAUGUCUUUGUAAAAUCGAGUGUAUCUGAGAAAGACUAAACAUCCUAUAGCAAUGGAGAAGAAAUAAGGGUAUCUUUGUAUCCCCAAUUGUAAAAGGAAUCCUGCAUAGUUUCUGACCCCAGCAUACCUCAAGUACCCUGUGGGAACUUCAGAAAGUCAUUUGAUUUAAUGUAAGUAUCUGGGUUAUAUUUUGUGUAUUGUCGAAACUCUUAUAGCCUCUUUACGGGUGUGGAAGCAGAGCAUAAAGGAACACACAGCUCUAUGAAUCUCUGGAGGGCUGUUCCAUUGGAAGAAUCCAUGCCUACCAGUACUUUGUAAGGCCAGAAUCUUCCUUGCAGCAUUUAUUCUGGAAAAAAAGAAAAGCUCUAUAUCAUUUCUUAGGGAAGGAGAUAAUGAAGAAAAAAAACACUGGUCUAGAUUCAGACUGACACAUUUAAAUCCUGGCCCUAUAUAUCAGCUAAAUGACCUGGAGCAAAGGAUUUCAUUUUUCUGAGUCAUAAUUUUCUUCUGUCUGCUUGAGUAAUAUCCUACCUAAAAUGUUGUUAAAAAGAUUAAAUUAUAUAAUACACAGGGAAACUGGCACAGGUAGGCAGAGUUCAUUAAAUUAUAGCUAGGAUUUUCCCCUCAAUUUCUUGAAAAUUUUGAGAUUAGCAUCUUCUCGGAAUUUAUGUAAGAUGAAGACUGAUGAAGCAGCAUGCUCUCUCAUACUGUAAAAUGUCACCUAUGUCAAGAUCACAUUGCAAUGUAGAAAGAUAGUAUUUGAUAAACCUUUUGUGUUUUAAUUAAAAUCUAUUAUUAAUGGUCUCUCUCUUAUGUUUAAUUUGGUCUUCUUAACUUGCGACUUGAAAAAUAUGUAACUGCUUAAGGUCUCUGCAGUUAGCUUGAACCACUAUCUGGAGUUCUUGAAUUCUAAAAUUAAAUAAAACCUUAAUAGGUUUUAUUGGGAUGAGAUAUUUUGCUUCUCUUCAGUAUAAUAAAAGAUUAUUUUUUCCAAAAUGUUGAGGGGAUUAUGGGAAUCAUGGACUUUUACCCAUGGUGUUGGCUCAUGCUAAGCAUGAGAAAGGUGGAGUUCGCCAAGAAACAUGGUUUCUUAGCCAAGCCAUCUCUGUAAUUCCUCCCAUGGCUACUCCUCUCUAGACUUUGAUAUUUCUUAUGCCUUUUAGCACCUUCAGGAACCUCUGUAAAUGAACCACUCUGUAUUCAAAACAAGACUACUAGAUUACCCAGUAGCUUCCAUGCUGAAGAAAGUAAUAAUAAUAAUAAUAAUUGAAUAGUAACAUUGAAU
Molecule: long non-coding RNA, 1671 nt
Organism: Papio anubis (olive baboon)
Lineage: Eukaryota; Metazoa; Chordata; Mammalia; Primates; Cercopithecidae
Source: Ensembl